AUGUAUCUGAAGGCAUUCAGUACUAUCUACUACAGGUGUGAGGCCCCAGAAAUUGGGGAUAUGGCUACCAUUUGGCACAGCAGUCUGAACAGGACCUGGAAAACCAAGAGGCUGCUUUUGUGGGAGAGCAGAACAAUGGUGACAGUGGAGGAGGAAGAUGAAUCAUUUGGAUUCUACUGCUGUGGACUGACUUAUCUCUGACUUAUCUCUGAAACAACUGAAACAUCAUAAGAAAGAGCAGCUGGCUUGAAAUGAGCAAUGGG
RNAcentral lists this long non-coding RNA (263 nucleotides) under Numida meleagris (helmeted guineafowl). RNAcentral describes it as "lncRNA (ENSNMEG00000013666.1)". Lineage: Eukaryota; Metazoa; Chordata; Aves; Galliformes; Numididae. The record is from RNAcentral.